RNAcentral lists this ribosomal RNA (253 nucleotides) under uncultured bacterium. Its description in RNAcentral is "partial 16S ribosomal RNA". It matches the Rfam family "Bacterial small subunit ribosomal RNA", at positions 524 to 776 of the family's 1533-position model. The record is from RNAcentral.
UACGGAGGGUGCAAGCGUUGCUCGGAAUUAUUGGGCGUAAAGGGCAGGUAGGUGGUCUUAUUUGUCAGGGGUGAAAGCCUUGGGCUUAACCCAAGAAGUGCCUCUGAAACGGUAAGACUAGAGUCCUGGAGAGGUUAGUGGAAUUCCCGGUGUAGCGGUGAAAUGCGUAGAGAUCGGGAGGAACACCAGAGGCGAAGGCGAGUUCCUGGACAGUUACUGACACUGAGGCACGAAGGCCAGGGGAGCAAACGGG